Molecule: ribosomal RNA, 208 nt
Filed under: uncultured bacterium
Lineage: Bacteria
Description: partial 16S ribosomal RNA
Rfam family: Bacterial small subunit ribosomal RNA
Source: RNAcentral
CGUGUAGGCGGAGAUGCAAGUUGGGAGUGAAAUCCCGGGGCUCAACCCCGGAACUGCUUUCAAAACUGUAUCCCUUGAGUAUCGGAGAGGCAAGCGGAAUUCCUAGUGUAGCGGUGAAACUGCGUAGAUAUUAGGAGGAACACCAGUGGCGAAGGCGGCUUGCUGGACGACAACUGACGCUGAGGCGCGAAAGCGUGGGGAGCAAACA